RNAcentral lists this ribosomal RNA (253 nucleotides) under uncultured bacterium. Its description in RNAcentral is "partial 16S ribosomal RNA". It matches the Rfam family "Bacterial small subunit ribosomal RNA", at positions 524 to 776 of the family's 1533-position model. The record is from RNAcentral.
UACGUAGGGUGCAAGCGUUAAUCGGAAUUACUGGGCGUAAAGCGUGCGCAGGCGGUUUUGUAAGUCUGUUGUGAAAUCCCCGGGCUCAACCUGGGAAUGGCAAUGGAGACUGCAAGGCUAGAGUUUGGCAGAGGGGUGUAGAAUUCCACGUGUAGCAGUGAAAUGCGUAGAUAUGUGGAGGAACACCGAUGGCGAAGGCAAUCCCCUGGACCUGUACUGACGCUCAUGCACGAAAGCGUGGGGAGCAAACAGG